RNAcentral lists this ribosomal RNA (489 nucleotides) under Bacillus sp. BacB7. RNAcentral's name for it is "bacterial SSU rRNA". It matches the Rfam family "Bacterial small subunit ribosomal RNA", at positions 8 to 479 of the family's 1533-position model. Lineage: Bacteria; Bacillati; Bacillota; Bacilli; Caryophanales; Bacillaceae. The record is from RNAcentral.
AGAGUUUGAUCCUGGCUCAGGACGAACGCUGGCGGCGUGCCUAAUACAUGCAAGUCGAGCGGACAGAUGGGAGCUUGCUCCCUGAUGUUAGCGGCGGACGGGUGAGUAACACGUGGGUAACCUGCCUGUAAGACUGGGAUAACUCCGGGAAACCGGGGCUAAUACCGGAUGCUUGUUUGAACCGCAUGGUUCAAACAUAAAAGGUGGCUUCGGCUACCACUUACAGAUGGACCCGCGGCGCAUUAGCUAGUUGGUGAGGUAAUGGCUCACCAAGGCAACGAUGCGUAGCCGACCUGAGAGGGUGAUCGGCCACACUGGGACUGAGACACGGCCCAGACUCCUACGGGAGGCAGCAGUAGGGAAUCUUCCGCAAUGGACGAAAGUCUGACGGAGCAACGCCGCGUGAGUGAUGAAGGUUUUCGGAUCGUAAAGCUCUGUUGUUAGGGAAGAACAAGUGCCGUUCAAAUAGGGCGGCACCUUGACGGUACC